GAGGGUGUAGCUCAGUGGUAGAGCGUGAGCUUAGCAUGCACGAGGUCCUGGGUUCAAUCCUCAGUACCUCCA
Camelus ferus (Wild Bactrian camel) is the source of this 72-nucleotide transfer RNA. It matches the Rfam family "tRNA". From Rfam's summary of the family: Transfer RNA (tRNA) molecules are approximately 80 nucleotides in length. Their secondary structure includes four short double-helical elements and three loops (D, anti-codon, and T loops). The record is from Rfam. NCBI's taxonomy places the organism in Eukaryota, Metazoa, Chordata, Mammalia, Artiodactyla, Camelidae.